UCUGGUUGAUCCUGCCUGAACUGAUGUGUUCAUUUCAAAGAUUAAGCCAUGCAUGUAUGUUUAAUCGUUUUAACGAGAAACCGCGAACGGCUCAUUACAAUGGCCAUGAUUUACUUGAUCUUGAUUAUCUAAAUGGAUAACUGUGGAAAAGCUAGAGCUAAUACAUGCACCAAAGCUUUGUCCUCUCGGAAAAGCGCAUUUAUUAGAACAAAACCACGCGGCUUCGGCUGCUUCUUGUUGACUCAGAAUAACUAAGCUGACCGCAUGGCCUUGUGCCGGCGGCGUGUCUUUCAAGCGUCCACUUUAUCAACUUGACGGGAGCAUAAUCGACUCCCGUGGUGGUGACGGAUAACGGAGGAUCAGGGUUCGACUCCGGAGAAGGGGCCUGAGAAAUGGCCACUACGUCUAAGGAUGGCAGCAGGCGCGCAAAUUACCCACUCUCGGCUCGAGGAGGUAGUGACGAGAAAUAACGAGAUCGUUCUCUUUGAGGCCGGUCAUCGGAAUGGGUACAAUUUAAACCCUUUAACGAGUAUCAAGCAGAGGGCAAGUCUGGUGCCAGCAGCCGCGGUAAUUCCAGCUCUGCUAAUACAUAGAAUUAUUGCUGCGGUUAAAAAGCUCGUAGUUGGAUUCGUAUCGGUACCCUUGAACCCUCCGGGUGUUUCUGGGUGUUAUCGAUUUAUCGUAAUGUUCGGUUUUGAGUCCUUAACAGGAUUCUUAACAGGCAUUGCAAGUUUACUUUGAACAAAUCAGAGUGCUUCAAACAGGCGUUUUCGCUUGAAUGAUCGUGCAUGGAAUAAUAGAAAACGAUUUCGGUUCAGUUUUAUUGGUUUUACGGACUGAGAUAAUGGUUAACAGAGACAAACGGGGGCAUUUGUAUGGCCCCGUGAGAGGUGAAAUUCUUGGACCGUGGCCAGACAAACUACAGCGAAAGCAUUUGCCAAGAAUGUCUUCAUUAAUCAAGAACGAAAGUCAGAGGUUCGAAGGCGAUCAGAUACCGCCCUAGUUCUGACCGUAAACGAUGCCAACUAGCGAUCCGCCGAUGGAAAUUAUAUUGCCUUGGUGGGGAGCUUCCCGGAAACGAAAGUCUUCCGGUUCCGGGGAAGUAUGGUUGCAAAGCUGAAACUUAAAGGAAUUGACGGAAGGGCACCACCAGGAGUGGAGCCUGCGGCUUAAUUUGACUCAACACGGGGAAACUCACCCGGCCCGGACACUGUGAGGAUUGACAGAUUGAUAGCUUUUUCAUGAUUCAGUGGAUGGUGGUGCAUGGCCGUUCUUAGUUCGUGGAGUGAUUUGUCUGGUUUAUUCCGAUAACGAGCGAGACUCUAACCUACUAAAUAGCUGGUACAUAAUUUAAGUGUAUACAGCUUCUUAGAGGGAUUUGCGGUGUUCAGCCGAAAGAAAUUGAGCAAUAACAGGUCUGUGAUGCCCUUAGAUGUCCGGGGCUGCACGCGCGCUACACUGGCAAAAUCAACGUGCUUGUCCUACCCCGAAAGGGGCGGGUAAACCAUUGAAAAUUUGCCGUGAUUGGGAUCGGAAAUUGCAAUUAUUUUCCGUGAACGAGGAAUUCCAAGUAAGUGCGAGUCAUCAGCUCGCGUUGAUUACGUCCCUGCCCUUUGUACACACCGCCCGUCGCUGCCCGGGACUGAGCCAUUUCGAGAAAUUUGGGACCGUUGAUUUAAUUUUUCUAAAUUACUUUGAUGGAAACCAAUUUAAUCGCAGUGGCUUGAACCGGGCAAAAGUCGUAACAAGGUAGCUGUAGGUGAACCUGCUGCUG
This 1774-nucleotide ribosomal RNA is filed under the name Meloidogyne arenaria. RNAcentral's name for it is "SSU rRNA". It matches the Rfam family "Eukaryotic small subunit ribosomal RNA". Lineage: Eukaryota; Metazoa; Nematoda; Chromadorea; Rhabditida; Meloidogynidae. The record is from RNAcentral.